UCGUACAACCCAAGCCUGUAACACCAUCAUAUCUCCGCCGUUCGCUGCUGGCCGUAAACCGCCUCCGCUAGCGGCGAAGCUCCAAAUCACUCCAAAUUUACAUCCCAUGCUCCUCUCUUCCUCCUCUUUCUAUAUCCAUGUCCAGUUUCUCACGAAUCCCAUCCAAUCGCCUCAAAUAUCGAAUCUAAACUUUCCCGGCCAUGACAACACCUCGUCCAAAUGACACCAAAUUCACACCAAGUGUUCACCUCCCUCCCCACGUCACGAAUCCACACUCCUUUUACUUUGAAUCACCCUACAUCCGUUCGAAUUUUGAAUCAAACUCGGACUCCAAAACCCUAGCUGCAUGAGUCAUGGGUUUUUCAGAGGGCUUGAUCAUAUAGCAUUUAGUUGUGUAUUUUCUCAUGAAAAUAUAUGAUUAAAUGCUCAUUUGGUCACGGGUUUAUCAGAUUUUUUGCCCAGCUGAAGUCUCAGAACUUGUAAACUUCCCCGGUUAUUUUUCUGUUAUUUUUAUUAUCUGUUCCUUAGUAUUUUCUUAUUAAGUUUUCUGCUGCCGAGUCUGAUUUUUGUUCUUAUCCAAGUUUCGAUUUUGAAUUCAGUGAUUCAAUGGGGGAUAAUUUGUUAUUUGAAUGAUGGUUGAUAGAUUCGAACUGUUAAGACUAAUAUAUGUUAGUGUUUGAAGGGUUCGAUUUUGCAAAGGUACUGUUUGACUGAUGCCAGGUUGAUUGGAUUUGAUUUUCUUUCUGUUUCUCAUAAAUAAUGGCUAAUCCAGAUAGUCCAUUUUGUGUUUGCGUUAGAUGUUUAAUGAUGUAAUGAGGUUACAGUUACAUUAUAGAAUUGAAGCUAAUUUUGACUUUUAUUUGGUGAUUUCCAUUCUUCUAGUGCAAUACUUGGAUCCUGAAAUUCCAGGUGUUCAUUAGUUCGAUUUCGAGCAAUUUUGGGUAUGUCUGAACUGGUUUUGGAUAAAUUUUGGUUGCUGAAGUUCAGAGGUUCAUUUCGAGUGAUUUUGAGUCAAAUUAAGUUGGUUUUCUUGUUGAAAUUUUGCACUGUUGAAAUUUCAGAAGUGUUCCUAGUUGAUUUCGAAUAGUUUUUAGGUUCAAUCAUUUUGUUUUGGGUGUUUGUUGCUGCUGUUGGGUUACAAUUCAUUCCCGGAUGAGUUUGAAUGUGUUUGAGACAUUGAGUUAUUCUAGUUGGUUUCAAGUUAAAAGUGACUUGUUCAAAAUCUGUUAUGGGCCAUAUUACUGAUAUUUUUGAUCUGCUGUUUCUCACUGCUGCUGAUUUCCCCUUUCUUCUACUCCUUUUCAAUUCCAGGUACACUACGAGACUUGGUUGAUGUGGCAUCUGUAGUUGAAAACAUGAAAUGAAAUAGAAGCCCCAAAAUUCUGAUAUUGCCUUGUUAUUCUGCAUGUUUAGAUGAUUUUUGUGAUUUGGUCAGUAGUAUAUUGUUGCUCCUGUAGGCAUAAAUGGAAUUGAAAAACUGGACCAUAUAGGUCGUAGUUUGAACCAUUUCGGAUUGUUUUAAUUCAUGGUUACUUAGCCGUGUAUAAUUAACACAUUUAAGUUUAGCAUUUUCCUAUUAAAAUUUGACAAUUAGAAGCAGUUUGGAAGUUCAUAUCCAGUUUGAUUUUGAGCUGAACAUGUAUCCCAAAGCAAUAUUUCGUACUGAACUAGUUAAUACCAACAGAUUAGUAAUUAAUACUAGUAAUUUUCUUAAAACGACUGUGUACCAUCAGCUCGUUAGUUAAACUGGUUGACUGUGCGUAACUGUAUGUAAAUGAGUUGUUAAUUUGAACAAGUAUACGUUGGUGUAUUUCAUUUCUAUUUGGUAAACACUUAACUUUGAUGUAAAAAUAAUUGUUGGCUUGCCUUCCCAGAGAUUCGAUCCUUCGAUCUCUUAGGCCUGGCCUAUUUCCACUUUGGGCCACUGAAAUUACAUGGCUGGCAUGCACGCGUUGUAUGGCUUCGGCUCUUUUGGGCCCAAGGCUGAUAUGGAAAUUGGCGUUCAUAUUUAAUGGCGGACUAGGUUUUUUAAAUUUGGUAUAGAUUCUAAUUAAAAUGUUCUUCCUCUUGUUUGGAUCCAGAGGCGAGAUUUUACAAUAAUAAUUAGUUAGGAUCUUUAUUUUUUUAUUUUUUUGUAGAAACAAACAAAAAAUAGAAAAUCAUAGUUUGCUUUUAGAUUUGCCUUUAAAAAUGAAAUGGGACGAGCCUCGCCGAACAAAACAAAUAAAUUGUGGGGCCCUCGACAAAUGUUAUACUAAAAAUACUUAGACUUCGGGAUGGGCCGUUUAGCGAAUUUUGUGGACUUCCCCAAAAAUAAUAAUGCAUUAGUCUCUUUAGGCGUACUUUUAAUAAUAUUACAUUCCUAAACAUGUGUGCACAUUUAUGUGACCCAAAUCCAAAUCUUAACGAAGUCGAAAUGUGUCAACAAUCACGGGUGCAUUGAUGUGGCAUGGUUUGAGGCGCGUUUUCACGACGUUGCAAUUCUUGUUAAAAAUAAAUAAUAAUAAAAGCGGUUCAAAAAUAAAAAAAGCACAUAAGCUAGAACAUUUCUCAAAAUCAGAUAAAAUCAAAUACAACAGUUGAGCGACCGUGCUAGAACCACAGAACAUGUGAAUGCCUAAUACCUUCUCCUGGGUUAACAGAAUUCCUUACUCGGAUUUCUGGUUCGUGGACUUUUAACAGUGUCAUAUUUUUCCUCGGUUCAGGAUUCAACCAGUGACUUGGGACACCGUUAAUCUUCCAAGUGGCAACUCUGAAAUCUUAAUAAUAAAUUCCGUUCCGAUUUUCCUUUAAUUGGAAAAACUCCUUUAUGCCCUCUUUCUGGUGUUUAGGUAAAAAGGAGGUGUGACAGCUCUGGUGACUCUGCUGAGGAAAAGAACCCAGAACGUUUUGUUUAGGGUUUAGAAUUCGAGCUUAGAUAAAUUGUUGUAUUUGGUUAUAUCUGGUUUUCCUACAUGUCUUGUGCUAUAUGUUUACCAUUUUGGUAUUAUCCGAACUGUAUAAAAACUGUGCCGACACCCUUAUCUUCUCACCUCCGCGGAUGUGCUUACUGGUUGAGACUCCAUUCUAUGUUAGUGUCAUACACGAAAAUAUGAAAGAUGCCGGACAAGUUACGAAGCUAGAUGGCCUUUUGGUUCCCGAUAAGUUUUCCCCUCCUCGACUAGAGUUGUCCGCUCGGGUACACAGUCUAGAACACAUACCCAGGUUUUGAACCUAGACUAACAUGAUUUCAUGCUGGAUCACUAGUAGGAACGCUUAGUUGCAUCAUGUUGCAUUUGACUUAGGGGACUCAACACAGGGGUUGGGUCCGUCUAGGACUAGCAACCUGAAAUGAAAAAGACCAUCCUGAUGCAUCCUAUUUGUUUCUUGCAUUUAUUUGUUUCGGACCUGCAUGCUGACCGGCUUCUGAAUAUCGGGAAUAUGGAAAAAUUGAGAAUAAAAGAAAAAGUGAGAAAUAACAGUGUAGAGAGUUAAUUACCUUUUUUAGAAAAAACAAGUGCCCAAAUACUACCGAAACUCUGCUGAAAUUUUGAAAAAAUGAAAAAAUUAUUUUAUUUUUAAUUAGUUUGUGUUACUCAAAAAGAAAAAAAAUAAACAGGUCUUUGUUUUAAUUUAGGAAAAUAUAUUGUUUUAUUAUCUAUUGAGAAGAAAAGAAAAAAAAGAGACUUUUAUUUUUAGUUUGGAAAAAUAGGUUGUUUUCUUGUUUGUUGAAAAAGAAAAGAAAAAGGGGUCUUUUGUUUUUAGUUUGGAAAAAUAGGUUGUUUUGUUGUUUGUUGAAAAAAGAAAAAGAAAAAGAGUCUUUUAUUUUUACUCUCGAAAAAUGGAUUAUUUUAUUGUUUGUUGAAAUGGAAAAGAAAAAUUAGGAGUCUUUUAUUUUUAGUUUGGAAAAAUAGGUUGUUUUAUUAUUUGUUGAAAAAAGAGAGUCUUGUUUUUAAAAGUAAUUUUUUUAUUUGCUUAUAAAAUGCCAAAAAUAAAAAUUUAAAAGAGUCAUGUUUAAAAAUAGUUCGGUUAAUUUGCCCGGACUACGCAGGUUUGAUUCUCACAGGGGGUGAGAUACGUAGGCAACCCUCUCCCGGUCCAACCUCCCCUUUGUAAAAAAUAGCCCAAAAAUAUCAAAAUUUUAAUAGUUGUGAUAAAUAAGUCGGGUGAUGCUGCUUUUGUCAAAAAUAGCCGAAUGUUCCCUAAAGGGCGCCGGAAGGCUGCUUUGCAAGAACAUCCACCUUUUGAUCAGUUUUCAAGGUUUUGGCCAGUUAGCCAAUGCAACCUUAAAGUCUUCGUCCUCGAGGUGCUGAAAGUCUGUGUUUGCAAAACCAGGUAUUUAAUUUUAAUUUGAAUAAUAAGGAAAAGAUUCAAUGAUCAAGUGAGUACCGUUUGGAUUUUGGUCAAAAUAAGCCGAUCCAACUUCGACAGUGUCUUAAAUCGUUCUUGCCUAGAUAACCUUAGAGUAUCUUUCAGUUGUCGAAAGACUAUUUGUGUAAAGAACGAACAUGUUUGUGAAGUGUCAUAAAAUAAUCUUCCACGGCCUCAAAAUUCAUGUAAAAUUGAGAAGAGGCCACGUUUGCAAAAAUAGUCAUUUGGUUAAAAUUGGCAUACAGGGAAAGAAUCUGCCAGUUUGUUUUCUCUUGUGAUUAAAGUUUGUGGGUUGGUUGAUUUUUGAGUUUGUUUCGGCUUUUCAUCAGAGUCUGUUAGUUUUGUUUAAGUUUGUUAGUUUUUGAAUCAAUGUAGUCAGAGUUAGUUUUACUAUGAAAAAUUGAAAGUUUCAAAAUAUGUUUCAUUGUUUGUUUUUUACCUUUUAUUUGCACGAACUACGCUCGGUCUGAUUCGUAUGGGAUCACGAUACGUAGGCGAUCCUCAUCGGAUUCGACCAUAACCUUAAGAGAAAAAUGAAAGAAAUACAGAAAAGAAACAAAAGAGCGAGAAAAUGCGAAAACCAAGAAAAUCACAGCAAAAGAAGUCAAAAUGAAAAAAAAGGAAAAGAAGAAGAAAAAGGAAAGAAAGAAAGAAAGAAAGAAAAGAGCAGAAAAACAAGAAAGAAAAGAAAGGUCGAGGGAACGAGAGAACCGAAGCAAGGAGAAAACAAAGGCAAGAAUUGAAAAGAAAAUAGAGAAACGAAAGAAAAAAGCAAGAAGAAACAAAAAGAGAAACAAAAAGAAAAGUUUCCAUUAGAAAUAAAAACUGAGAUGACGCAACCAGUUGAGCAAAUGCAUAUAGACUCAACCAGUUGAGCAAAUGCAUAUAGACUCAACCAGUUGAGCAAAUGCAUAUAGAAUCCAUUAAACUAUUUAGGUGCAUUCAUUCAUAACAUGCGGUAAUCAAAUCUACUCAUGUCCUAACCAUUAACCAAGAUGUUGUUGAUAUUGAGUUCAGGCAGGUGGUUAGUUGUUUGGCAUUCUGGCAACGCAUUCCUACAACACCCGAUCAAAAGAUAAGCUGAGAAUGACAGGUCAGGUAUCUGAUACCAGUAUUGUGGACCUGGUAAAAGAGGUAGAUGUGUUGGAUGUUAAUGUGAUGAGGGAGGAAAUGCAUAAGUUGAGGCAGCAAAUGGCUUAAAUGCACCGAGCUUGGUCUAGGGGUCAGCCGGCGCCAGUUUAUCCCGCAAAUCUAACCUACAUCCCACCUUUGGCUCAAUCUCAGAAGCCUCAUACUGUGAAUUCAUCCCUAGUUUUUCCUCUCUACCAACAGAGUUAUGGUACCACCUCAUACCCUCCCCAAGCUCCACCACCAAAACAAAACCUUCCUCUACCAAUCAUUCGUGUCUUUGUAGCACCUCCACCUGCCACACUGCAAAUAUCUUCCAAUGAGCCUUUGUUUCAAGCUCACAACUGUCAACAUUACCUUCCUGAGGAUACCUUUAAGGUAUUCUUAUACCCCUCACUUUGAGCUCCCAGUGGAAACUGAAAACCCACUUAAGAACCUUGAGUAGGAAGAGAUGAUUCCAAAAAUUAAAAGCCUGGAGCAGUCCUUCAGGAAUAUGCAUGAAUUGGGCAAUCAGGUCAGUGUGGCCUAAAAAUAUGUGUCUGUUCCCAAAUGUUCAGCUACCUACGAGGUUCAAAAUUCCAAAUUUCGAUAUGUAUGAUGGUCACGGCGAUCCAGUGGCCAACCUGUGGGGAUUCUGUAGCAAAAUGAGAGGGGCCAAUAGGAAAGAUGAAUUACUGAUGGCGUACUUCAGCCAAGGUCUGAGCGGGUCUACUUUGGAGUGGAAUACACUAUAGGACCACGGUAAGUGGUAUAUUUUGGAUGACUUGGCACAAGCAUUUGCCAGUCAUUUUCAGUACAAUCUAGAAAUUAUUCUAGAUCGCCUAUGUUACAACCCAUAUUCACGUUUUUAACUCAUUUUAUAAGGUAAUCAACAUAAAUCCAUGAAAGGAUUAUGUUUAAGAUGAUAAGAAGUUAAUUCUAUUGGUCUUAAAUGAGAUAAAGGUGUAUCUGGGUGGAUAACAAGUACUAGAAGUUAAACGAAUCAAAGAUGUUGUCACCUGCAUUUUCAGAUAAACCUAGAGGUUCUUAGUACACUUAAGAGGUUGUGUUUUAAGGUAUUUUAAUCAUAUAAUACCCGUAUUAUAAGUCUUGAAGUCAAAUGAGUUAUGAGACAAAAGUCGACAAAAGUUGUCGCAACUUAGGUUCAUAAUUUUACUUAAACAUUAGGUCAAAUGUUACUACGCUUUUGUCCCAAUUUACUAAGAAUUAUGGAUUGAUCUAACCACAAAAUUGAAUAUCUAUAAUUCUAGUUUCUAAGUCAUUAAACCGUUUGUGGAUACGAUCUCGGAGUAGAGAGAUAUUCGCAUUUUUGUGAGAUUGCGCCAAACAUCUCUACAUUGGGCCCACUAAUGUUGUUUAAGACAUUUGAGACGAUAUAUGCCACUUCCAACCCGUUUUAAGUCAUUUAUUUUCACUAUAUUCAGAUAUUAGAACCCUAGGAAACUCCUCUAAAGGUUCUCUCAAGGUUCAAGACCCAAACAAAGGGCAAAUAACACAAAUCAAGUGUCGGGAAUUCCGUAGCGCUAGUAAGUCUCUUGUUCUUCUUGUUGUUGCUCAUUUUUGUGUUGUUCCAGAUCGUGUGGGAGGCUAUUUUAGAGGGUUUAUGUUCUGUAUAUACUCCCUCAUAUUAUUAAUAUCAACCCUAGGUAAUUUCAAGCCUCCUAAAGUAAUUCUAGUGCCGAAAAAUUCUAAUUGACCGCUAGUUUCGGUUUUAGAGGGUUUAUGUUUUGUAAAUACUCCCUCAUGUUAAUAAUAUCAACCCUAGGUGAUUUCACGCCUCCUAAAGCAAUUUUAGUGCUGAAAACUACUAAUUGACCGCUAGUUUCAUUUUCUUGUUGUUGUGGGAGCAUUGGAGGGAUAUUUCAUGGUUAUUUAAGGUGAAAUUGGAGUUUUUCUUUCUGAAUAAAGGUAAGGAACCUCUUACUCUAUAUGUAUUUAAGAUAAUCCAAGUUGGCUAAGCCAUUGAAGCUAGAACUUGUGAAAUAUAUAUCGAAAGGCUUGGUAGUAAUGUUAUCGGUCGGUGGACUGUUUUGGAAGACUCAAAAUGAUUAUGCUUUUUGGGAUGUUUGGUGAUUUUUUUGAAUGGUUUGAAGUCAUAAAUAUAGGGAAGGUGCUGUCCGUUUAUCGUAAAAUAGGUUGUCGUCGAUACACAAUGGCUAUGACGCUUAUAUGAUAACGAUAAUAUCGUUUAUGUUAUUGUAGACUAAGGGGUGUGACAAUUGCAUUGCUUGAGAUUUGGGAAAUAUAUACAAGGUACGUGAGUCUAUACCUUUUCUUCUUUUGCAUGACUCUGAUUAUACAUAAUGUAAUGAAUGAGCUUCCAAAGAUACUCUACUCUUAGAAGCUAGCNNNNNNNNNNNNNNNNNNNNNNNNNNNNNNNNNNNNNNNNNNNNNNNNNNNNNNNNNNNNNNNNNNNNNNNNCAAUACUUACAUUGUUUCCCCUCUUAUGGAACGAUUGAUGUUAAUGUUGCUUCUCUUAUUCUUAUGUUAUCAAUGUUGUUGGUACUUCAUGAUUCUUGUAAGGUUCAUAGUGAAGAGUUAGUCCUAAUAACGUGUACAGAGGAUACCGUCCUUUCGUCACUCCAAAAGGUUUAGAGUCUGAUUCCAUGAGCCGAGCAUGCAUUAUAUAUAUGUAUCUAUUUUACUCUACCGAGCCGUACUAUAGUCGGCCGGGUACGUCACCUACUGUGCAACCAGUAAUCAGUUGGGUUUUACCGAGCUCUACGUGGCUGGGUACGAUCUACCGAGCCUUACGAUGACCGGGUAUGUUUUUAUCGAGCCUAUUACGGCCGGGUACGAUAUGAUGAUGAUGAUGAUGCCCACAGAGGCGUAUGUUUUAAACGUUUAUGUAUUUAUACAUAUGUAUCAUGCAUUUCAUGUCAGUAACCCUCAGAGGUACUCAGUUGUUACAGGUUGUAUAUUCUCUAUCCAUGUUUACAUUACUGUUUGUAUUUAUGGUUCCCUGCCUUACAUACUCGGUACAUUAUUCGUACUGACGUCCUUUUAUUUGUGAAUGCUACAUGUUGUGCUGCAAGUACUGAUAGAAAAGCAGGUGCAGCUCCCCCACCACAGUAGGAUAUAGGUGUAUAUGGUGUAUUUAUGGUUCCCUGCCUUACAUACUCGGUACAUUAUUCGUACUGACGUCCUUUUAUUUGUGGAACGCUGGAUGUUGUGCUGCAGGUCCUGAUAGACAGGCAGGUGCAGCUCCCCCACCACAGUAGCCUGUCCAGUUCAGCGAUGAUUGGCGAGAUCCCUUCUCUGGAAUUGCCUUGGUCUUGGUAUGCAUUUUUGUUAUAGACAUUAUAGGUAUGUCGGGGCCCUGUUCCGGCUAUGAUGCAUCACUUAUGUUACUUUAGAGGCUCAUAGAUAGGUGUCCACUCAUGUAUAGGUUAGUAUGCUUUGUCGGUUGAUGUUUGUUGUAUAGUCUUCCAUGGUAGAGUGGUAUUAGAGGCUGAUAGACAGGUGUGGACUCAUGUAUAGUUUGGUAUGCGUUGUCGGCUGCUUUUUGCUGUAUAGCCUUUCAUGAUAGUAUGGUAGCUCGUACUAUAUAUAUAUAUAUAGUUUCUUGAUUGUCUGGUCAUCCCAGGUUAUGUAGGUUCAUGCCAUGAUAUUUUAUUGUUGGUUGUCCAUGAUCCAUGUCUACCAUUUAUAUUGAUCUCCUCAGCCCUAANNNNNNNNNNNNNNNNNNNNNNNNNNNNNNNNNNNNNNNNNNNNNNNNNNNNNNNNNNNNNNNNNNNNNNNNNNNNNNNNNNNNNNNNNNNNNNNNNNNNNNNNNNNNNNNNNNNNNNNNNNNNGUUGGGUGCUAGUCAUGGCCCUCCAGUUUGGGUCGUGACAAACUUGGUAUCAGAGCAAGUCUGUCCUAGGGAUUGUCUAUGAGCCGUGUCUUGUAGAGUCUUGAUUAUGGAUGUGUAGCGCGCCACAUUUACAAUCAGGAGGCUAUAUGACAUCUAGAGCUGUUACCUUCUUCCUUAAUCUAGAUCGUGCGUAGAGUUGAGUCAUAAGUGUUCGUCUAUAAUAUUAACCUUGUUUUCUUUCAGAGAUGCCUUCGACUAAGAAGCAAACAAUUAGUAGACGGCUUGAUACAGCUGCGGGAAAGGGUACCAGUCAGAUGCCCCAAGCCAGAGCAGGCCAAUGUGAGGAUCAGAGCGAGAUGCCGUCUCAUACCUCAUCUACUCCGUCUCCUCCAGGGGAUAUUAAGAGGCACCCAACACCUCCAGUUCCUUCAUCUGGCACUACAAAUCAGGAAAUGCGGAGUGCUUUGCAGUUAUUGACCAGCUUUGUGGCUGCUCAGGAUCAGAGGCAGAAUAUAGGUGCUGCUGAUAAACAAGUUAGUUGGAGAGUUCGUGAUUUUAUUAAUUUACCCCCCAGUGUUUACCAGAUUAGACCUCAAGGAGGACGCGCAGACUUUUAUUGACUAGGUUUUUCGUACACUGCGGGUUAUGCAUGUUAGUGAUACAGAGGCAGUAGAGUUGGCAUCUUAUCGGCUACGUGAUUUAGCGGCUCUCUGGUAUGAUAGUUGGGAGAGAUUUAAGGGUUCGAACGCUCUUCCAGCAAAGUGGAAGGAAUUUUUUGAGGCCUUUCUUCGUCAUUACUUGCAUGUUCAUAUACAACGAGUUAGAGCUGAUAAGUUCUUGAACCUUAGACAAGGUAAUAUGAAUGUGCGAGAGUACAAUAUGCAAUUUGUUUUUUAGCAAGGUAUGCUCCCCAUAUGGUGGCCGAGAUGAGUGAUAGGGUGCAUUUGUUCAUGAAGGGGUUGGGACCACAUCUGAUUAAUGAAUGCACGACAGUCUCCUUAGUGGAGGGCAUAGAUAUUUCCCAUAUUCAGGCUUAUGUAUAGACCCUAGAGGAUCGUAAGCGCCAACAGAGGGCAGAUAGGGCACGACAACCUCCUUGGUAGAGGGCAUGGAUAUUUCCUGUAUUCAGGCCUAUGCCCAGACCCUAGAGGAUCGUAAGCGCCAGUAGAGGGCAGAUAGGGAGCAGGAUAGGGGCCAGCAUAAGAGGGCGAGAUUUGCAAGGUAUCCUUAUGACUUCAGAGGCAGCGUCAAGCCCUAGUCUUCGAGGAGUUUGGUGCCACCUGUAGCUAGUGCUCCUCUACAGUUUAAGAUGCCUCGAUAUUUGAUGACUUCAGAGGCAGUGUCAGGCCCCAGCCUUCGAAGAGUUCAGCUCCAUCUGUAGCUUGUGCUCCUCCACUGUUUCAGAGGCCUCGAUAUGAUCGAUCAUAUUCUGGUCCAGGUCAGAGUUCACGGGCAUCUGUCACGCAACAACACACGAAUACUAGUCAGAUGAGACCCCAAACACCACGUUGUGAUCAGUGCGGCAAGGCCCACUUUGGACUGUGCCGUCGAGGUUCUGAUGCAUGCUAUUCGUGUGGAUAGCCUGGCCAUAUGAUGCGGGAUUGUCCUAAUAGGGGAGGUGAUGGUAUGGCUCAACCGACUGGAUCUAUUUCUAGUUCUUCCUCAUCAGUUUGACAUCCAGCAUUGGGUUUUCAGCAGUCGACAGGUCAUGGUAGAGGUAGAGGUGCAGUGCCGAGUUCGAGUGGGCUAAAAAUCGAACCUAUGCUCUAGUAGGUCGACAAGAUCUCGAGUCAUCUCCAGAUGUUGUUAUAUGUAUAUUGUCUAUGUUUUCUUAUAAUGUAUACUCGCUGAUUGAUCCGAGAUCUACAUUAUCAUAUGUUACACCCUUUAUGGCUAUUAAGUUUUGCAUUGAACCAGAAUUGAUAAGUAAACCCCUUGCGGCAUCUACUCUGAUAGGAGAUUCUGUGAUUGCUAGAAGGGUAUAUAGAGGUUGUACUGUUAUGAUUUAUGGUCGUCAAACCACGACAAAUUUAUUUGAGUUAGAAAUGGUUGAUUUUGAUGUGAUAAUGGGAAUUGACUGGUUGGCCUCAUGCUAUGCAAAUAUUGACUGUCGUACGAAAUGGUUAGGUUUUAAUUUCCGGGAGAACCUAUCAUUGAAUGGAAGGGGGACAUUGCUACACCAAAAGUAGGUUUAUUUCCUAUCUUAUGGCAAGGAAAAUGAUCUCAAAAGGUUACAUUUAUCAUCUCGUUCGUGUUAAGGAUGCAGAGGCAAAGCCGCCUACUCUACCAUCAAUCCCUAUGGUCAAUGAAUUUCUAGAUGUUUUCCCUGAAUUAAGGAUGCGAAGGCGAAGCCGCCUACUCUACAAUCAAUCCCUGUGGUCAAUGUAUUUCCAGAUGUUUUCCUAGAUGAACACUCAGGCCUUCCUCCUGAAACGGAGAUUGAGUUUAGCAUUGAUGUGUUGCUUGACACUCAACCGAUCUCCAAAAAGAAUGGUCCCGGCAGAGUUGCGAGAGUUGAAAUCGCAGUUAAAGGACCUGCUGGAUAAGGGCUUCAUUAGGUCUAACACUUCACCUUGGGGUGCACCAGUCCUAUUCAUGCUGAAGCAAGAUGGGUCGUUACAUAUGUGAAUAGACUAUUGACAGUUGAAUAAGGUUACAAUAAAGAACAAGUAUCCACUUCCAAGAAUUGAUGACUUGUUUGACCAACUCCGGGUGCCAAGUAUUUCUCCAAGAUUGACUUACGUUCGGGGUAUCAUCAGGUGAGGGUUAAGGAGAAGGAUAUUCCAAAGACGAAUUUCUGAACACGAUAUGGGCAGUUUGAGUUCUUGGGGAUGUCGUUCGGGCUACCAAAUGCCCCAGCUUCUUUUAUGGGUCUCAUGCAUACUGUAUUCAAGACCUAUCUUGAUGUGUUUGUGAUUGUAUUCAUUGAUGACAUUCUUGUGUAUUCUCGUUCGGAGGUGGAACAUGCGGGCCAAUUGCGGAUAGUAUUACAGACGCUUCAUGAUCGUAAGUUAUAUGCUAAGCUCUCCAAAUGUGAAUUCUGGAUAAACUCAGUAGCAUUCCACGGCCAUGUGAUAUCUCAUGAGGGUAUUAGUGUUACACUCAGAAGAUCGAUGCAGUAAAGAAUUGGCCGAGACCUACAACACCAUCAGAAGUCUGCAGCUUCCUAGGGUUAGCAGGAUAUUAUAGGCGGUUUGUAAAAGGGGUUUUCUCUAUAUAAGCACCAUUGACUAAGUUAACAUAGAAAGCUACCAAAUUCCAGUGGUCUGACACUUGUGAACGUAGUUUUCAGGAGCUGAAGAAUCGAUUGACAUCCGCACCAAUGCUCACACUCCCUGAAGGAACAGAAGGUUAUAUGGUAUAUUGUGAUGCCUCAAGUAUAGGUUUGGGGUGCGUAUUGAUGCAGCGUGGGAAGGUGAUUGAUUAUGCAUCAAGACAAUUGAAGAAGCAUGAAAAGAAUUAUCCAACCCAUGAUUUGGAAUUGGCUGCAGUAAUAUANNNNNNNNNNNNNNNNNNNNNNNNNNNNNNGAGUUGAAUUUGGGGCAGCGUAGGUGGCUUGAAUUACUGAAAGUCUAUGACGUCGAGGUAUUAUUUCAUCCCGGUAAAGCCAAUGUUGUGGCAGACUCUCUCAGUCGUAAGUCAAUGGGAAGUUUAGUACAUAUUGAUGCAGUUAGAUGGGGGUUGACAGAGCUUCUUCAGCUUGCCAAUAUGAGAAUCAGAUUGUUAGACUCUGAUGACGGAGAUGUUACUGUACAUAAUACAUCAGAAUCAUCUUUGUUGCCGAGGUAAAAGCAUGGAAAUAUGAAGAUCCUAUCCUAGUACGAUUGAGAGAGAGCAUUCAGUAGUGUAAACUUACGGCUUUUGAGAUUAGAGGAGAUGGGGCACUGAGAUACCAUGCCCGAUUAUGUGUGCCUAAUGUGGCAGGGUUGCGAGGGAAGAUUAUGAUGAGAUUCAUCAAUCUCGGUAUAUCAUCCAUCCCGGCUCGACAAAGAUGUAUCAUGAUGUCAAGGAGCAGUAUUGGUGGGAUAACAUGAAGAAUUCUAUUGCAUAAUUUGUAGCCCAGUGUCACAAUUGUCAACAAGUAAAGAUAGAACAUCAGAAACCCGGUGGAUUGCUCUAGGAUAUAGAGUUUCCAACCUGUAAAUGGGAGGUGAUUAAUGUGGAAUUUGUUAUUGGAUUACCUCACACUUAUCAUAAGUUUGAAUCCAUCUGGGUGAUAGUUGAUCGACUUACGAAAUGUGCCCAUUUUCUGCCAGUUAAGACAACUUACACGGCUGAAGAUUAUGCAAAGUCGUAUAUCAAGGAUAUUGUUAGGCUUCAUUGUUUGCCAAUAUCUAUUAUAUCAGACCGAGGAGCUCAAUUUCCAGCUAACUUUUGGAGGUCUUUUCAAAAGGGAUUAGGCACACAAGUGAAUCUCAGCACCGCAUUUCAACCGCGGAUAGACGGACAGGCUGAACGUACAAUUCAAACACUGGAAGAUAUGCUACGAGCGUGCGUUCUAGAAUUUAAGGGGAAUUGGGACGACCAUCUUCCACUCAUAGAAUUUGCCUACAAUGAUAGCUACCAUUCUAGUAUUAAAAUGGCCCCAUACGAGGCACUAUACGUGAGGAUAUGUAGAUUACAAGUUGGAUGGUUCGAAGUUGGUGAAACAGAAUUAUAUGGCCAAAUUUGAUUCACCAAGCCAUUGAGAAGGUGAAAGUGAUACAAGAGCGAUUGAAGACAACACAAAGCAGGGAAAAGUCUUAUUCCGAUGUCCGACAUCGUGAUCUGGAGUUUGAGGUUUGUGAUUGGGUUUUCUUGAGGAUCUCACCAAUGAAGGGUAUUAUGCGUUUUGGGAAGAAAGGUAAGCUAUGUCCAAGUUAUAUCAGGCCGUAUAAAAUUCUUUGACGAGUCGGAUAGGUUGCUUAUGAGUUAGAAUUGCCAUCCGAAUUAGAAUUUGCUCAUCCGGUAUUUCAUGUAUCUAUGUUAAGGAAAUGUAUUGGAGACUCUUCUCGGGUUGUCGCUAUCAAAGAUAUACAAGUUACCGAGGACCUAUCAUAUGAAGAAGUUCCUGUGGCUAUAUUGGAUCAACAAGUCCACAAGCUGAGAACAAAAGAUGUAGCUUCCGUCAAAGUAUUGUGGAGGAAAAAGAAUGUAGAAGAUAUGACAUGGGAAUCAGAAGAGGAGAUGAAGUCUAAAUACCCUUAUCUAUUCCAGAAUAAAGAUAACAAGGAUGUUUGUGGAACAAAGGAUACAUUGGAAGGUGAAACGACUCUAUGAGGUAACCAAUAUCUUGAGAAUGCUCUUCCUUAAUACAAAAUAGGGAUAUGCAGAUAUAAAUAUCCAUAAUACUUUGUGUAGCCGGCCAUAUGUUGGGAUUAAGUGCUUGCAAGUUUGUCUAGUGACCAUUUUAUAGGGGGGGAAAUUGAUCAAAAAUUUCCGUUGGAAUCCACGAUGAUUUGGACUCCCCAUAGACCCUUCCAUUCGAGGACGAAUGUUCCUAAGGGGGGGAGGGUGUUACAACCCAUAUUCACAGAUGUUAGCUCAUUCCAUAAGGUAAUCGACAUAAAUCCAUGAAAGGAUUAUCUUUAUGAUGAUAAGAAGCUAAUUCUAUUGGUCUUAAAUAAUACAAAGCAUAUGGGUGGAUAACAAGUACUACAAGGUAAACGGAUCAAAGAUGUUGUCAGUCGUAUUUUCGGAUAAACCUAGAGGUGCUUAGUACACUCAAGAGGUAUUAUUUUAAGGUAUUUUAAUCAUAUAAUAUCCGUAUUAUAAGUCUUGAAUUCAAAUGAGUUAUGAGNNNNNNNNNNNNNNNNNNNNNNNNNNNNNNNNNNNNNNNNNNNNNNNNNNNNNNNNNNNNNNNNNNNNNNNNNNNNAGUUAUGAGACAAAAGUCGACAAAAGUUGUCGCAACUUAGGUUCAUAAUUUUACUUAAACAUUAGGUCAAAUGUUACUAAGCUUUUAUCCUAAUUUACUAAGAAUUGUGGAUUUAUCUAAACUCCAAAUUGAAGAUCUAUGAGUCUAGUUUCUAAUUCAUUAAACCGUUCAUCGAUACGAUCUCGGAGUAGAGUGAUAUUCGCGUUUUUGCGAGACUGCGCCAAGCACCUCUCCAUAGCCCCCACUACGGCGGUUUAAGACAUUUGGGCCUAUAUAUGCCACUUCCAACCCGUUUUAAGUCAUUUAUUUUCAAUAUUUUCAGACCUUAGAACCCUAGGAACAUCCUCUCAAGGUUAUCUCAAGGUUCAAGACCCAAACAAAGGCAAACAACACAAAUCGUGUUCGGGAGUUCCGUGGCGCUAGUAAGUCUCUUGUUCUUCUUGAUGUUGCUCAUUUUUGUGUUGUUCCAGCUCGUGUGGGAGGUUGUUUUAUAGGUUUUAGGUUCUGUAAAUACUCCCUCAUGUUAUUAAUAUCAACCCUAGGUGAUUUCAAGCCUCCUAAAGCAAUUCUAGUGCCGAAAAAUACUAAUUGACCGUUAGUUUCGUUUUCUUGUUGUUGUGGCAGCAUUGGAGGGAUAUUUCAUGGAAAUUUAAGGAUAAAUUGUAGUUUUUAUUUCUGUAUAAAGGUAAGUAAACUCUUACUCUAUAUGUAUUUAAGAUUAUUAAAGUGGUGGCAAAGCUAGUGAAGCUAGAACUUGUGAAAUAUAUAUCGAAAGGCUUGGUAGUAAUGUUAUCGGUUGGUGGACUGUUUUGGAAGACUCAAUAUGAUUAUUAUUGAUGCUUUUUCUUUUUUUAGUGAUUUUUUUGAAUGGUGUGAAGUCAUAAAUAUAUGGGAGGUGUUGUCCGUUUAUCGUAAAAUAGGUUUUGGUCGAUACACAAGUGCUAUGACGCUUAUAUGAUAAUGAUAGUAUCGUUUCUCUUAUUGUUGACUAAGGGGUGAGACAAUUCCAUAGCUUGAGAUUUGGGCAAUAUAUACAACGUAUGUGAGGCUAUACCUUUCCUUCUUUUUCACGACUCCUAUUAUACAUAAUGUAAUGAAUGAGCUUCGAAAGAUACUCUACUCUUAGAAGCUAGCAGUACUUACACUGUUUCCCAUCUUGUGGAACGAUUGAUGUUAAUGUUGCUUCUCUUAUUCUUAUGUUAUCAAUGUUAUUGUUACUUCCUGAUUCCUAUAAGGUUCAUAGUGAAGAGUUAGUACUAAUAACGUGUACAGAGGGAACCGACCUUACGUCACUCCAAAAGAUUUAGAGCGUGAUUCCACGAGUCGAGCAUGCAUUAUAUAUAUGUAUCUAUUUUACUCUACCAAGCCGCGUUAUAGUUGGCCGGGUACGACACCUACUGUGCAACCACAGAUCAGUUGGGUUUUAUCGAGCUCCACGUGGCCGGGUACGAUCUACCGAGCCUUAUGAUGGCCUGGUACAUAUUUACUGAGCCUAUUAUGGCCGGGUACGAUAUGAUGAUGAUGAUGCCCACAGAGGCAUAUGUUUUAAAAGUUUAUGUAUUUAUACAUAUGUAUCAUGCAUUUCAUAUCAGUAGUCCUCAGAGGUACUCAGAUGUUACAAGUUUUAUAUUCUCUAUCCAUGUUUACAUUACUGUUCGUAUUUAUGGUUCCCUGCCUUACAUACUCGAUAUAUUAUUCGUAUUGAUGUCCUUUUAUUUAUGGACGAUGCAUGUUGUGCUGCAGGUCCUGAUAGACAGUGAUGAUGAUGCCCACAGAGGCAUAUGUUUUAAAAGUUUAUGUAUUUAUACAUAUGUAUCAUGCAUUUCAUAUCAGUAGUCCUCAGAGGUACUCAGAUGUUACAAGUUUUAUAUUCUCUAUCCAUGUUUACAUUACUGUUCGUAUUUAUGGUUCCCUGCCUUACAUACUCGAUACAUUAUAUGUACUGACGUCCUUUUAUUUAUGGACGCUGCAUGUUGUACUGCAGGUCCUGAUAGACAGGCAGGUGCAGCUCCCCUACCACAGUAGGCUUCCCAGUUCAACGGUGAUUGGCGAGAUCCCUUCUCCGGGCUUGCCUUGGUCUUGGUAUGCAUUUUUGUUAUAGACAUUAUGGGUAUGUCGGGGCCCUGUUCCGGCUAUGUUGCAGCACUUAUGUUCCUUUAGAGGCUCAUAGACAGGUGUGGACUCAUGUAUAGUUUGGUAUGCCUUGUCGGCGGGUUGUUGUAUAUAUAUAGUUUCUUGAUUGUCUCGUCAUUCCAGGUUAUGCAGGUUCAUACCAUCAUAUUAUUGUUGGUUGUCCAUGAUCCAUGUCUACCAUUUAUAUUGAUCUCCUCAUCCCUAAGAGAUGAUAAAGAAGGUUAGAUAAAAUGUACAUUGAUGCUCGGCAUGUAUGGUCGGGUGCUAGUCAUGGCCCUCCAGUUUGGGUUGUGACAGCCUGUCACUAAUAAAACUUGAAAAGAAGCCCAGGGAAAUUUUCAGGGAAUAUGGGUUCCGCUGAAGAGAACAGGCUGCGAGGAUCGAUCCUCCAAUGAGGGAAAGUUUAAUGGUGGACUAUUUUUUGCAGGCUUUGGAGCCAACUUACUUUGGUAACCUGGUGACAGCAAUUGGCAAAUCUUUUAAUUAAGUGGUGUAGAUGGGAGCCAUGGUCGAGGAAGGAUUAAAAUCUGAUAAAAUUAUGAGCUAUUAAGUUAUUCAAGCAACCACCCAGGCCAUCCAAAGCAAAACUGGGGGUGUGCUGGGAAAGAAGAAGAAAGAAGAGGUUGCAACAGUCGAAGCCGGAGCUUGGUCCAGAUCUAGAGGCCCUCCGUCCUAUUACCAACCAAGACCCUAUCACCCAAAUUACAUAUACACCCCAUAUGGCCAUCCAAAACCCUACUUCCUACCGCUGGAGCCACAUUUCUCCGUUCACCAUGCUCAAGCCUAUACCUAGCCUCCGGCUCAUGCGCAAUGGCGUGCACUGGUUACCCAAAAACACAUACCCACCUCCAAAAAUAUACAUAUCCACCCCCAGGGCCUACGGAAAUCCUCCAGGGUCCAGUUUUCAUGGGAAUCAAUCUUUCAAGAAUGAGAGGGUGUAGAAGCAGAGAACAUUCACUCCGCUGGGCAAGUCAUAUACUAGUCUUUUCCACAAAAUGAGGCAGCUGGGCCUUUUGACCCCAAUUGAGCCCAAAGUUCCAAAUCCCCUUCCUAGAAAUAUGGACUAGUCAUUGAGUUGUGAAUAUUGUUUGGGAGCCCCCAUUGACACUCACCGGAUUGAGAUUCAGACCCCUGAGGCACCAAAUAUCAAUUAGAAUCCGUUGCCGACUCACCAUGAGGCUCAUGUGAUUGAAUUGAUGCAUAAGGGAGAAAAUCCUAAGAAACCAUCGCAGACGGUAAUGAUGAUCCAUUCUAGCAAAACCAAUUUGAAUGAAAAGCCAACCAGUGAGAAAGUGGUGGUUCAGUUGAAAAGGGUAGAUAACAAGCCGCUAUCAUAAAAGGUUCUUGGGUCAUUGAGUGGUGCGGAUGGAUAUGUGGGACAAGGGUUCAAAAUAUUAUUCACUAAGGUAAACAUUGUUGAAGUAGGAGAAGGGUCGAGCAAAGCAAAUGUGCAGUUCGUCUGACCAUGGCAAAAGUCAACGACUGGAAGUCUUGGUAGUGGGUCUUGUUUUUCAUUAAGCUGUCUAGAUUAUUCUAGGGUUGUAGUCCAGAUACUAUGUUCUGUCCGUUUGGAUGAGUUAAAUCCCUGUUAUUUGUUCCUUCUAUAAAAAGAAAUUGUCUUUCUUUCUUUAUUCUUAAUUCCGUUUCAGUUUGUUUUUCUUCUCUGUACAGUUCUUUUUAUGUUGGUAUCAAUAACAUGACAUGCAUGCGGAAUCCUUGUUCCAGUCUUGAAAGCCGAUCUUAUUCUGAAGUGAUAAUACAAGAAAUUGAGUGUGAUAAUGAGUUGGAACAUGAUGGCGGUUUCACCCGCCUUGGACAGUUGAGUUUGAUUAAUGAAAAUAGAUUAGUAUCAGUGCGUCAUGACCAAUUGUACCAACAAAAAUGGCAAGAGCGUACAACAAUAAAGUGCAUCCAAGAAAGUUUGAAGUCGGACACUUAUUUCUGAGACGUAUCUUGCCUCAUCGGGCUGAAGCAAAAGGAAAAUUUGCCCCAAACUGGCAGGUUCCAUUUGUUGUAACCAGAGUAUUGUAUAGUGGUGAAUUAUAUCUAACAGAUGUGGAAGGAAAAUGUGAAUAAAUGGCCAUCAACUCCAAUGUGGUCAAGAGGUACUCUGUAUGAUUUCUUACUUUUGAUUGUACUUGUUUUGUAUUUGGCAUAUUUUGAAGAUUGAAAUGACGAAGGUGUUUUGUUCUACUAUCUUAAACACUUUCAUACCCCUAUUCAGAAUUAAUGGCACAAUUAAGAAACGCAAGUGCCGAAAAUAAGUAAAUGAAAACAAGGAAGGAAAGAGACGAAAAGGAAAGGGAAAAGAAGAAGAAAGAAAAGGAAAAAAAAAGAAGAAAAGGAAAAAAGAAAAGAGAAAAGAAAAGAAAAGGAAAGAAGAAGAAAGAAAAGGAAAGGGAAAAACAAAAAGGAAAUAAAGAAAGGAGAAAAGAAAAGGAAAUAAAAGAAGAAGAAAAAAGAAAGAAAAGAAAAAUGAAGAAGGAAAAAGAAAGAAAAAAAGAAAUACAACAACGUAGUUUCUAUGACGUGAACUAUGUUUGACUUGAUCCCAAAAGGGUAUGUAGGCAUCCUCUCUAAGGUUCAGUCAUACCAAAAUAAAAAUUCUAAAGUUCCCAAGCAAGAAACUGGGGCAGAAGUUAUGGUUGUUGGAAUUAUAUGAUUCCGAAAGUUGUAAUUUUAACACAUUUUGAAAUUGUUUUGAGCCUUUCAUACCCUUAAUUUCUUACCCCGUCCAAAGCCCACAUUACAGUCCAAAGAAAGACCUUCUGAUCAGUCUUUGAGAAGUGACAAGUCAAGAAAGGUAAAAGUAAUUCAUGUCUUGGGCAACACUCUGGUUCAAGCCGGAAAAAUUAAAAAUAAGAGAAUCUUAUUGGUGAAAAUCCUCACGAGCACCGUAAGGCGACGGGAGCUGAGAGAAAUAAAAAUGGGAGAGUCUUAUUGGUGAAAACCUUCACGGGAAUCGUAAGGUGAUGAAAGACGAGAGAGAUUGAAAUGAGAGAGUCUUAUUGGUGAAAACCCUCAUGGGAACCUUGAGGCGAAAGUGAGUUAAGAAAUGAACAAAUGAGAGAGGUCAGCUGGUGGAAAACUGUUUCAAGGCACUGCAUGAUGAACAAGGUUAAGGUUUGGGUAAAGUAAUCAAGUGAUGGAAACUCUGGGGCAACAAAGUGUGGCGACCAAGAGGUGGUUAGUUGGACAGAUUGGGCCUAUUAGUCCAGAGUGAAUGACAUGACCAUUGAUACCAGCAAUUCCGGUCAGAUAAGUUUCUUUUCCUUCUCUUUUAGCAAUCAUCCAGUUUUGGAUUCUUCUUAUCCUUAACUCAUAAAAUCAUUGCAUUUUAUUUUUUUGAGAGUUUUAUCUGUCUAAGAUGUUCAAUGUCGGUUUUUUUCAAUGCAAGUAGAAAGGAUUCAAAGCUCGCUAACAGCUUUCGGAAUUUGUAAAGCACAAUGUGGUCAGAACGCGUCAAAGACAACGUAAUGUAAGGAGGAAUACAGGGAAUCACCAGAAAUGUCAUCCAUAGAAUAAUUGGGAAAUGUUGUGGGAAAAUGCAAAGGUUCAGAUAAAGGGGUCAGAGAUGUGAAACAACAGCAUGUGUACAAAACAUUGGGGUUGUCAGAGGUUGGGAAUUUGAAAGACAGUCAGAAGGUCAAGCGGUUUAGGGCUAGUUCGGGGAAGAUGGUAAAAAAAAAGCAAUAUAGUGGAAGGAUUUUCAGCAAGAAUGCCAUCAACUAACCACCAUUUUAAACUUAUAAAAUUUUCUUUGAUCGAAACAGGGGCAGAAAAGUCGGUUGUUCAGGAAAUAUUCUCCGCAAAGGAAAAAAUGAGCAAUAAUCAGGUUUGACCGCAAAGCGUGGUGUGAUUAAAGUACAAGAUAAUCAUGAAUAACAUAGAGGAAUAAAAGUUUGCAUGUUUACGAUAAAAUUCAAGUAGAAGUCGUCAGGGCCUUCCUGGAUAAUAGGAUGUGGUUCAAAAACCCUUGUAGAUAACAUGAUGUAGCGAGAGUAAUACCUGAGGUUUGUAAUUGUUAGGAGUUGUUAGGACCUUCCCUGAUAAUAUGAUGUAGUUUAAAAACCCUUGUUGAUAACGUGAUGUAGUGAGAGUAAUAUCUUGGGUUCAUAAUUGUUAGGAGUUGUUAGGAUCUCCCUGAAUAAUAGGAUUUAGCUUUCAAUUCUCAGUAAUAUUUGGUAAUAUGAUUUGGUUUAAAAUUUACCCAUAUACCCAGCUUCCAACUGGGGUAGAGAAUUUUAUUUUGUUGCUUAUUUUGUUGAAGUCAGGAGUCCACCCGGAGAACAGAGACAUGCAUUUCGAAUUUCAGAAGUCAGGAGUCCGCCUGGAGAACAGAGACAUACAAUUCAAGUUUUAGCAGUCAGUUGCCUGCCAGAAGAAAAGAGGUGAUACAAUUAAAAAUUUAAGUUUUCAAUAAAUUUCUUUGUCUAUUUUAAAGUCAGAAGCCCGCCUGGAUAGCAUGAGAAUACAUUCAAUCGCAACAGUCAGGAGCCCGCCUGGAGAACAAGGGAGUACAAUUUAAAAUUUUAGCUUUCAAAGUUCUUUGUUUUGUCUAUUUUGUGAAGUCACGAGAGCCUGGAGAGAAAGGAAUACAUUUCAAGUUCCAAAUUCAGUAGCCUGCCCAGAUAGCAUAGGAAUACAUUCAUGUUUUGAAUCUAGGAGCUCGCCUGGAUAGCAUGGGAAUACAUUCAAUCGCAGCAGUCAGGAGCCCGCCUGGAGAACAAGGGAGUACAAUUUAAAGUUUUAGCUUUCAAAAUUCAUUGUUUUGCCUAUUUUUUGAAGUCAGGAGUCCGCCUGUAGAACAGAGGUAUACAAUUCAAAUUUUAGAAUUCAGGAGCCCGCCUAAAGAACAGAGAAAUACAUUCAAGUUUUGUCAUCAGGAGCUCGCCUGGAGAACAGAGGUAUUACAAUUCAAGCUUUAGUUUUAAUUCUUAUUAAAUAUCCGAUAAAAUGUACCCAGUUUUCCAAAGUGGGGCCGAAAGUUUUCUUUGUUUUGUUUAUUUUGUGAAGUCAGGAGCCCCACCUGGAUAAUAGAAGAAUACAUUUCAUGUUUGAAGUUAGGAGCUCGCCUGGAGAAUAGACGUAUUACAAUUCCAUCUUUAUUUUUCAAAUUCUUGUUAGUAUCUGGUAACGUAACGCCUAGGUUUCCAAACUGGGGUAGAAAGUUUUCUUUGUUUUAUCUAUUUUUGAAGUCAGGAACCCUCCUGGAGAACAUAGGAAUACAAUUCAAGUUUUGAAGUUAGGAGUCCGCCUGAAGAAUAGAGGUAUUAUAAUUCAAGUUUUAGUUUUAAUUCUUAUUAAUAUCCUGUAACAUGUACCCAGUUUCCAAACUGGGGCAGAAAGCUUUCAUUGUUUUGUUUAUUUUGUGAAGUCAUAAGCCCGCCUAAAGAACAUAGAAAUACAUUCAAGUUCAAGUUUAGAAGUCAGGAACCCGCCUGGACAACGUCGGAUAUAUUCAAGUUUAGCAGUUUGAAGGAAAGGAACAACAUCUCAGUUUACAAUUCGAAGUGAUAACAAUGGAUUUCACCAAGAGAACACAAGAUAAUAAGGCAACAGGAGAACACAAGACAACAAGGCAACAAGAAAUACAAGAUCAAGUUUGAAGAAUUUAGAUAGGACCUCUAUAAUUCGUAGGGCAUAACGUAGUUUAGCUUCUUUUAUUUUGACAUGGUGUAAUAAGGGAGGUCAGCAAGCAGUGCCAACAGCAAUCACAGUGAAAAUCACAGCUCCUGUUAGCCCCAGCUACCAGACAUUCCCAAACUACACUGACCUGAUUCCUGUUUAGCUCUGGAUAUGUUGGCAACCUCCGAAGCAGGGUGCGGUCAACUCUUUCAAAAAUAUUUCAUGAGAAAUAUUCGAACGGCCAAAAAUCGCUCAUUUCUGCUCACUUAUCUUUGCACAAAAACUCUUCGUGUUUUCAAGCAAAGAGGGGCAGCUGUGAGCACGUGAUUUUUGCCCUAUAUAUGAAUUACUCCCAAAAAUUCAAAAAAAAAAUUUCUUUCAUUAUUUUGCAAAUUUGUGAAUUUUGUGUUAUUUUCUGUUAAUUGUUUGCAUUUUAUUUGUGCAUUUUAAUCAAUGAAAAAUAUAAAAAUACUUGGCAUUUGUAUUUAUAAUUUAAAUUCAUACUUUAGGAUUAAGUAAUAGUUUAAAUCGCUUGAAAAUAAAGAAAAUAAAAAAAAUAGCCCACUUUUACAUUUUUAAAUGUUAAUGGUUGAAUUUGUCAUGAGUUUAUUUUUAAAUAGGGUUUAAACAAUUUUGGAAUUAAUAAGCUUAACUUGGAAAUAUAUUAGGUCUUUAUUUUUAUGUUAGCAUUUUUAAAAUCAGAAAAACAUAUAGAAAAUAUACAAAAUGAAAAAAGAAAAUUAAAAGAAGAAAACAAAAAACAAACCAAUACAUGCCAAAUCCAAUUGGGCUAAUUUUAUUUGAACCAGCCCAAACCAAAAGAUACCUAGGCCGGCCCAUAGCUAAACCCCUUGAUCAAGUCUGCUUCCCCAACCAAAUGACAUCGUCCCCUCCCCCCNNNNNNNNNNNNNNNNNNNNNNNNNNNNNNNNNNNNNNNNNNNNNNNNNNNNNNNNNNNNNNNNNNNNNNNNNNNNNNNNNNNNNNNNNNNNNNNNNNNNNNNNNNNNNNNNNNNNNNNNNNNNNNNNNNNNNNNNNNNNNNNNNNNNNNNNNNNNNNNNNNNNNNNNNNNNNNNNNNNNNNNNNNNNNNNNNNNNNNNNNNNNNNNNNNNNNNNNNNNNNNNNNNNNNNNNNNNNNNNNNNNNNNNNNNNNNNNNNNNNNNNNNNNNNNNNNNNNNNNNNNNNNNNNNNNNNNNNNNNNNNNNNNNNNNNNNNNNNNNNNNNNNNNNNNNNNNNNNNNNNNNNNNNNNNNNNNNNNNNNNNNNNNNNNNNNNNNNNNNNNNNNNNNNNNNNNNNNNNNNNNNNNNNNNNNNNNNNNNNNNNNNNNNNNNNNNNNNNNNNNNNNNNNNNNNNNNNNNNNNNNNNNNNNNNNNNNNNNNNNNNNNNNNNNNNNNNNNNNNNNNNNNNNNNNNNNNNNNNNNNNNNNNNNNNNNNNNNNNNNNNNNNNNNNNNNNNNNNNNNNNNNNNNNNNNNNNNNAAAUCUAAGCCCUUCAAACUGUUUCAUCCAACGGUUCAAAAUCCUUCAAAGAAAAUACAUAAAAGUGUUAUAAUCCUUAUACAAUUAUAGGGACAAAAUCCAUCCUCCUCGUACAAUCCAAGCCUAUAACACUACCAUGCCUCUCUUCCUCCUCUUUCUAUAUCCAUGUCCAGUUUCUCUCGAAUCCCAUCAAAUCGCCCCGAAUAUCAGAUCGAAACUUUUCCGACCAUGACAACACCUCGUCCAAAUGACACCAAAUUCACACCAAGUGUUC
This 24636-nucleotide long non-coding RNA is filed under the name Nicotiana benthamiana. RNAcentral's name for it is "long non-coding RNA (NBEN_LNC012169)". Lineage: Eukaryota; Viridiplantae; Streptophyta; Magnoliopsida; Solanales; Solanaceae. The record is from RNAcentral.